Cinara cedri is the source of this 203-nucleotide non-coding RNA. NCBI's taxonomy places the organism in Eukaryota, Metazoa, Arthropoda, Insecta, Hemiptera, Aphididae. The record is from the annotation of a GenBank genome assembly.
UCACGCCCUCUCCCUCCUAGGUGGGUGCGUCCCUCAAUUCGCAAACAUUCUGUUAAAUAAUUACAAAUUUAAAAUUUAUAUAGACAUUGACUAUAAAAAGUAUAUAAUAUCAUUAUUUUAUUAAUCUUUUAUAUUUAUUUCGGUAUAUAAUGUUAUAUUUUAAGUUUUUAUUUAGGAGGGUUCCAUUAUUAGUAAAGCCAAAU